AGUUCUUAAAUAAUCAAGGCCACGCAAAGGGAAAGGGGAGGCAUAUGAAAGUAGCUGCAUAAUCAGAUAGAUAAUGCACUUUUCUCCAAUUGUCUGGCUCUUUUAGACAGCAGCAUCUGGGGGUGUAUUUCGAAGGCGGGGGAUGACUAGCAAGUAUGAGCCAGAUGAGACCUCCGGGGUGACCUGGAAUUACAGAGGCCACUCAUUUUCGGAAUAGGGUUCUGAAAACUGUAAUAUUGUAGAGAUGAAAAGGACCUAUGAAGACCACCUGAUCUGUCAACUUUCUCAAAAGACCACACCUACAUGUAGACAAGUAGGGGACGUGGGUUUGAGCCCUGGUCCGGGAAGAUCUCACAUGCUGCAGAGCAACUAAGCCCGUGUGCCACAACUACUGAGCCCGCGUGCUACAACUACAGAAGCCCGAGCGCCUAUAGCCCAUGCUCCGCAACAAGAGAAGCCACUGCAAUGAGAAGCCCGCGCACCGCAACGAAGAGGAGCCCCCGCUCACCGCAACUAGAGAAAACCUGCAUGCCACAACUAGAGAAAGCCCGCGCGCAGCAGCAAAGACCCAACAC
Long non-coding RNA from Physeter macrocephalus (sperm whale), 575 nucleotides. RefSeq lists it as uncharacterized. The transcript has 3 exons. The record is from RefSeq and is a predicted model, not a curated record. Lineage: Eukaryota; Metazoa; Chordata; Mammalia; Artiodactyla; Physeteridae.